RNAcentral lists this ribosomal RNA (253 nucleotides) under uncultured bacterium. RNAcentral describes it as "partial 16S ribosomal RNA". It matches the Rfam family "Bacterial small subunit ribosomal RNA", at positions 524 to 776 of the family's 1533-position model. The record is from RNAcentral.
UACAGAGGGGGCAAGCGUUGUCCGGAUUGACUGGGCGUAAAGAGCACGUAGGUGGCGCGUCAAGCCGGGUGUGAAAUCCCACCGCUUAACGGUGGGGCGCCAUUCGGGACUGGCGGGCUCGAGGGAGGCAGAGGUCGGUGGAAUUGCCGGUGUAGUGGUGAAAUGCGUAGAGAUCGGCAGGAACACCAAGGGCGAAAGCAGCCGACUGGGCCUCUUCUGACACUGAGGUGCGACAGCGUGGGGAGCAAACAGG